Molecule: ribosomal RNA, 342 nt
Filed under: Triticum aestivum (bread wheat)
Lineage: Eukaryota; Viridiplantae; Streptophyta; Magnoliopsida; Poales; Poaceae
Description: partial small subunit ribosomal RNA
Source: RNAcentral
AUGUUAAACGUGUAUAGAAAGUAUUUAUGUUGUAUACAGAAAAUGUACAAUGCGUAUGAAAAAAUUAGACAUGUGUUGGAAAAAAUUAAAAGUAGAAAAACUAAAGAAAUAAAUCAAAGAAAUAAAAAAACUAAACCAAGGAAAAAUAUAAAGAAGAAGGGAAAAGAAAAACCGAAGAAAGCCAUUGCUGAAUUGGGCAUGCUGCGGGCCCUCGGUACUGCUCUAACAACUGCUGCGUUGCUCAUCCAUCUCUCUCUGUACUAUCAAGUCCUUGUAAUAUUAGUAAUUGAGAUAUUAAAAGUAUUUGUUCCCCGGGACAACAAGCUGAAUGGAAAUGUCUAA